UGCACGCAUGACUGUAAGACACUUUGGAUAAAAGUGUCUGCUAAAUGGCAUAUG
Salmo salar (Atlantic salmon) is the source of this 54-nucleotide non-coding RNA. The record is from Rfam. Lineage: Eukaryota; Metazoa; Chordata; Actinopteri; Salmoniformes; Salmonidae.